AAAUUGAAGAGUUUGAUCAUGGCUCAGAUUGAACGCUGGCGGCAGGCCUAACACAUGCAAGUCGAACGGUAACAGGAAGCAGCUUGCUGCUUCGCUGACGAGUGGCGGACGGGUGAGUAAUGUCUGGGAAACUGCCUGAUGGAGGGGGAUAACUACUGGAAACGGUGGCUAAUACCGCAUAACGUCGCAAGACCAAAGAGGGGGACCUUCGGGCCUCUUGCCAUCAGAUGUGCCCAGAUGGGAUUAGCUUGUUGGUGAGGUAACGGCUCACCAAGGCGACGAUCCCUAGCUGGUCUGAGAGGAUGACCAGCCACACUGGAACUGAGACACGGUCCAGACUCCUACGGGAGGCAGCAGUGGGGAAUAUUGCACAAUGGGCGCAAGCCUGAUGCAGCCAUGCCGCGUGUAUGAAGAAGGCCUUCGGGUUGUAAAGUACUUUCAGCGGGGAGGAAGGUGUUGCGGUUAAUAACCGCAGCAAUUGACGUUACCCGCAGAAGAAGCACCGGCUAACUCCGUGCCAGCAGCCGCGGUAAUACGGAGGGUGCAAGCGUUAAUCGGAAUU
RNAcentral lists this ribosomal RNA (562 nucleotides) under Salmonella enterica subsp. enterica serovar Infantis. RNAcentral describes it as "bacterial SSU rRNA". It matches the Rfam family "Bacterial small subunit ribosomal RNA", at positions 1 to 552 of the family's 1533-position model. Lineage: Bacteria; Pseudomonadati; Pseudomonadota; Gammaproteobacteria; Enterobacterales; Enterobacteriaceae. RNAcentral also lists the same sequence under 1 other name. The record is from RNAcentral.